UUGGGGCAGCAGGACGGUGUGUGUGGGACUGAGGCAGAAUAAACUCCAGUGUGUGUGUUCGUGGUGAUGAAGGAACAUGUCACCCAGUGCAGCAGUGCGGCUCAUGUGUGCUCAGGAUUAAAGAUACACAGUAAAGCAGAUAACUGCCCUGAUCCUAUCACACUAGUUUAACCAACAGCCUGCUAAAACCAAGUUAACUGAUUGGAGAACCAGAGUUUCCACCCACAUUCCACAACUUCACAGGGCUAUGCACGUGUGUGUGUGUGUGUGUGUGUGUGUGUGUGUGUGUGUGUGUGUGUGUGUGUGUGUGUGUGUGCAUAUAAGAGAUGAUGACUGUGGGGAAAACAGGGGACUUUCCUACUGAGUAAUAAAGAGAGGUAGAGCGAUGAGAACAGAAAGAGGAGGGAGGAAGAUGAGGCUACAGCAUGGGAGAAAAGAGGAGGAGUGGAGAGGAGGGCAGCUGGAAAGAAAGAAAGAAGGCGAAGUGGAAGACAAGACCAAAUAAUGAAAUACUGAAGUGGUGUCCGUCUCUGUGCGGGUUCCGUGGUCGCGCUCUGCUUGUCCCUCUGCCACCGAGAGGUACCUUUUCUCUGUCCCGGGGGAUUUACAGGCUUUAAAGCUGAAGUCACGCUUCAUGAGGCUGUGGCACAGUGAGAGAGGGGCCUGAUGAGC
Siniperca chuatsi (mandarin fish) is the source of this 672-nucleotide long non-coding RNA. RefSeq lists it as uncharacterized. The transcript has 3 exons. The record is from RefSeq and is a predicted model, not a curated record. NCBI's taxonomy places the organism in Eukaryota, Metazoa, Chordata, Actinopteri, Centrarchiformes, Sinipercidae.